RNAcentral lists this ribosomal RNA (86 nucleotides) under Paenibacillus alvei. The record is from RNAcentral. Lineage: Bacteria; Bacillati; Bacillota; Bacilli; Caryophanales; Paenibacillaceae.
UACCCAUCCCGAACACGACCGUUAAGCCCUCCAGCGCCGAUGGUACUUGGACCGCAGGGUCCCGGGAGAGUAGGACGUCGCCAAGC